This 457-nucleotide ribosomal RNA is filed under the name Streptococcus sanguinis. Its description in RNAcentral is "bacterial SSU rRNA". It matches the Rfam family "Bacterial small subunit ribosomal RNA", at positions 28 to 469 of the family's 1533-position model. The record is from RNAcentral. Lineage: Bacteria; Bacillati; Bacillota; Bacilli; Lactobacillales; Streptococcaceae.
GACGAACGCUGGCGGCGUGCCUAAUACAUGCAAGUAGAACGCUGAAGAGAAGAGCUUGCUCUUCUUGGAUGAGUUGCGAACGGGUGAGUAACGCGUAGGUAACCUGCCUGGUAGCGGGGGAUAACUAUUGGAAACGAUAGCUAAUACCGCAUGAUAUUAAUUGUCGCAUGAUAAUUAAUUGAAAGAUGCAAUUGCAUCACUACCAGAUGGACCUGCGUUGUAUUAGCUAGUUGGUGAGGUAACGGCUCACCAAGGCGACGAUACAUAGCCGACCUGAGAGGGUGAUCGGCCACACUGGGACUGAGACACGGCCCAGACUCCUACGGGAGGCAGCAGUAGGGAAUCUUCGGCAAUGGGGGGAACCCUGACCGAGCAACGCCGCGUGAGUGAAGAAGGUUUUCGGAUCGUAAAGCUCUGUUGUAAGAGAAGAACGGGUGUGAGAGUGGAAAGUUCACAC